UCAGGUGCGAAAGCGUGGGGAGCAAACAGGAUUAGAUACCCUGGUAGUCCACGCCGUAAACGAUGUCUACUUGGAGGUUGUGCCCUUGAGGUGUGGCUUCCGGAGCUAACGCGUUAAGUAGACCGCCUGGGGAGUACGGCCGCAAGGUUAAAACUCAAAUGAAUUGACGGGGGCCCGCACAAGCGGUGGAGCAUGUGGUUUAAUUCGAUGCAACGCGAAGAACCUUACCUGGUCUUGACAUCCACGGAAGUUUUCAGAGAUGAGAAUGUGCCUUCGGGAACCGUGAGACAGGUGCUGCAUGGCUGUCGUCAGCUCGUGUUGUGAAAUGUUGGGUUAAGUCCCGCAACGAGCGCAACCCUUAUCCUUUGUUGCC
RNAcentral lists this ribosomal RNA (373 nucleotides) under Salmonella enterica subsp. enterica serovar Agona. RNAcentral describes it as "bacterial SSU rRNA". It matches the Rfam family "Bacterial small subunit ribosomal RNA", at positions 747 to 1119 of the family's 1533-position model. Lineage: Bacteria; Pseudomonadati; Pseudomonadota; Gammaproteobacteria; Enterobacterales; Enterobacteriaceae. The record is from RNAcentral.